This 319-nucleotide ribosomal RNA is filed under the name uncultured eukaryote. RNAcentral describes it as "partial 18S ribosomal RNA". It matches the Rfam family "Eukaryotic small subunit ribosomal RNA", at positions 1470 to 1796 of the family's 1831-position model. The record is from RNAcentral.
CCCUUAGAUGUCCUGGGCCGCACGCGUGCUACACUGACACUUACACCGAGUUUUUCCAAUGCCGAAAGGCCAUUGGUAAUCAGCAAUAAGUGUCGUGAUGGGGAUAGAUCUUUGGAAUUAUUGAUCUUGAACGAGGAAUGCCUAGUAAUCGUAGGUCAUCAGCCUGCGAUGAUUACGUCCCUGCCCUUUGUACACACCGCCCGUCGCACCUACCGAUUGAAUGGUCCGGUGAAAUCUCGGGACGGCGGCUUGGUCGCUUGCGUCCGACUGCUGAAACUUGAUUAAACCAUAUCAUUUAGAGGAAGGUGAAGUCGUAACA